This 484-nucleotide ribosomal RNA is filed under the name uncultured bacterium. Its description in RNAcentral is "partial 16S ribosomal RNA". It matches the Rfam family "Bacterial small subunit ribosomal RNA", at positions 30 to 507 of the family's 1533-position model. The record is from RNAcentral.
AUUGAACGCUGGCGGCAGGCCUAACACAUGCAAGUCGAGCGGAUGAAGGGAGCUUGCUCCUGGAUUCAGCGGCGGACGGGUGAGUAAUGCCUAGGAAUCUGCCUGGUAGUGGGGGAUAACGUCCGGAAACGGGCGCUAAUACCGCAUACGUCCUGAGGGAGAAAGUGGGGGAUCUUCGGACCUCACGCUAUCAGAUGAGCCUAGGUCGGACUAGCUAGUUGGUGGGGUAAAGGCCUACCAAGGCGACGAUCCGUAACUGGUCUGAGAGGAUGAUCAGUCACACUGGAACUGAGACACGGUCCAGACUCCUACGGGAGGCAGCAGUGGGGAAUAUUGGACAAUGGGCGAAAGCCUGAUCCAGCCAUGCCGCGUGUGUGAAGAAGGUCUUCGGAUUGUAAAGCACUUUAAGUUGGGAGGAAGGGCAGUAAGUUAAUACCUUGCUGUUUUGACGUUACCAGCAGAAUAAGCACCGGCUAACUUCGUG